UUACUCUUAUUAAAAUUUUGUAAUUCUUUUAUGUUAUUGAAUUUAUUAAUUUUUUCUGCAUACAUUUGAUGGGCUUCCUUCAGAUUGUUUUACUCACUUCCCAUUGAGAUCCCCUCCAGUUCUAGUCCAAGAGCGCAUUGAAAUAGCUAUUGCCCGUGUUGGGAACAAUCACUUUGUGCAACUUUUCUUGCAGUCUCAUUACCCUGUACCACCCUUCCCAAUAUGGUGGUGGAACAAUGCAUCAGACCAAGCUAAAAGAUGGGCUGCUCGUUAUACAACACGAAUUAGUUUGUGACAAGAAAUAAUGGAUACAAGACCAAGAGGGACAGGAGCAGAAUUUGGUGGAAACAUUGAUUAGAAAUUGAAUUUUCAUGUAUUUUCAAUCUUCGAUGAAAUUAGUACAAGUUAUGUUUGUAUAAGUUAUAUUUUAAUUAUUCAUUUAUUAAUUAAAAUUAUAGUAAGAAGUCUUUUAAAAGUAAAACAAA
This is a long non-coding RNA of Rhododendron vialii, 485 nucleotides long. RefSeq lists it as uncharacterized. NCBI's taxonomy places the organism in Eukaryota, Viridiplantae, Streptophyta, Magnoliopsida, Ericales, Ericaceae. The transcript is spliced from 3 exons. The record is from RefSeq and is a predicted model, not a curated record.